Molecule: ribosomal RNA, 460 nt
Filed under: uncultured Campylobacterota bacterium
Lineage: Bacteria; Pseudomonadati; Campylobacterota
Description: bacterial SSU rRNA
Rfam family: Bacterial small subunit ribosomal RNA
Source: RNAcentral
AGAGUUUGAUCCUGGCUCAGAGUGGACGCUGGCGGCGUGCUUAACACAUGCAAGUCGAACGAGAACGGCUCUAGCUUGCUAGAGUGUCAGCUAAGUGGCGGACGGGUGAGUAAUGUAUAGUUAAUUUGCCCCUUGGAGAGGGAUAGCCACUGGAAACGGUGAUUAAUACCUCAUACUCCUUCUAUGUUAAUCAUAGUUGGGAAAUGUUUUUUCGCCAAGGAAUGAGACUAUAUGGUAUCAGGUAGUUGGUGGGGUAAGAGCCUACCAAGCCAAUGACGCCUAGCUGGUCUGAGAGGAUGAUCAGCCACACUGGAACUGAGACACGGUCCAGACUCCUACGGGAGGCAGCAGUGGGGAAUAUUGCACAAUGGAGGAAACUCUGAUGCAGCAACGCCGCGUGGAGGAUGACGCAUUNCGGUGUGUAAACUCCUUUUAUAUGGGAAGAUAGGACGGUACCAUA